AACGAACGCUGGCGGCAUGCCUAACACAUGCAAGUCGAACGAGACCUUCGGGUCUAGUGGCGCACGGGUGCGUAACGCGUGGGAACCUGCCCUUAGGUUCGGAAUAACUCCCCGAAAGGGGUGCUAAUACCGGAUAAUGUCUUCGGACCAAAGAUUUAUCGCCUUUGGAUGGGCCCGCGUUGGAUUAGCUAGUUGGUAGGGUAAAAGCCUACCAAGGCGACGAUCCAUAGCUGGUCUGAGAGGAUGAUCAGCCACACUGGGACUGAGACACGGCCCAGACUCCUACGAGAGGCAGCAGUGGGGAAUAUUGGACAAUGGGCGAAAGCCUGAUCCAGCAAUGCCGCGUGAGUGAUGAAGGCCGUAGGGUUGUAAAGCUCUUUUACCCGGGAUGAUAAUGACAGUACCGGGAGAAUAAGCUCCGGCUAACUCCGUG
Molecule: ribosomal RNA, 433 nt
Filed under: uncultured bacterium
Lineage: Bacteria
Description: partial 16S ribosomal RNA
Rfam family: Bacterial small subunit ribosomal RNA
Source: RNAcentral